Molecule: ribosomal RNA, 492 nt
Filed under: uncultured bacterium
Lineage: Bacteria
Description: partial 16S ribosomal RNA
Rfam family: Bacterial small subunit ribosomal RNA
Source: RNAcentral
AGUGAACGCUGGCGGUGGGCCUAACACAUGCAAGUCGAACGGCAGCACAGUAAGAGCUUGCUCUUACGGGUGGCGAGUGGCGGACGGGUGAGGAAUACAUCGGAAUCUACUUUUUCGUGGGGGAUAACGUAGGGAAACUUACGCUAAUACCGCAUACGACCUACGGGUGAAAGCAGGGGAUCUUAGGACCUUGCGCGAUUGAAUGAGCCGAUGUCGGAUUAGCUAGUUGGCGGGGUAAAGGCCCACCAAGGCGACGAUCCGUAGCUGGUCUGAGAGGAUGAUCAGCCACACUGGAACUGAGACACGGUCCAGACUCCUACGGGAGGCAGCAGUGGGGAAUAUUGGACAAUGGGCGCAAGCCUGAUCCAGCCAUACCGCGUGGGUGAAGAAGGCCUUCGGGUUGUAAAGCCCUUUUGUUGGGAAAGAAAAGCAGCAGGUUAAUACCCCGCUGUUCUGACGGUACCCAAAGAAUAAGCACCGGCUAACUUCGUG